This is a long non-coding RNA of Heterocephalus glaber (naked mole-rat), 663 nucleotides long. RefSeq lists it as uncharacterized. Lineage: Eukaryota; Metazoa; Chordata; Mammalia; Rodentia; Bathyergidae. The record is from RefSeq and is a predicted model, not a curated record.
UGAUUCAGUUCUUGUCCAACUCAGUUGGAAAGAAUCAAUUUCAUGAACUGAGGCACCACUGUUUGUCUCAGUGCCCUGCAGUGCCUUCUGGUCUGAAGCUGGCUGUGACAGUGUGUCAGAGAGGACCAGACAAUGCUGGGGAGGUUGACCCAGCUUCUUCACCAUUGCCAUUGCUAUCUGCCAGCCCGGAGGUUCCUCUGACAAGGGACCAUCUGAAGCAUUUUGCAUACUUCAAGUCAUGUGAUUCUCACAGCAAUCUUAGUCCAGGCCCUGUGCCCAAGCAGAAGUGACAUAACCUAGGAACCUCUGGCUGCAGGCAAUGGCCGUGUCAGGAUGCUCCCCAGACUCCUUCACAGCUGCAUCAACAACCACCAUAGGAAGAAAGCAAGACACUCAGGAGGCUCCACCACAGAGCCAGCCCCUGGAUCCCGGGCUCUGGAAGGAAGCCACUUCCAAUGUUCACGCUGAGACAAUGCUGUAAGAUUUCUUUGUUCCCACCGAGGUUUCUAGUACAUAACAGCUGUCAACAACUCAGGAAGAUCGGGGUUUGGUCCAAGCCUUUCUUCUUUGCAAGUGUUCUUUUAUAAACAUUAUAUUGCUCUUUUCAGCAAGGGCAAAAUAAAGGCACAUCUGAUGAUUCCAAAGGGGCCAGAUACUUCCGCA